UACCCGCUGAGUUUAAGCAUAUCAAUAAGCGGAGGAAAAGAA
This 42-nucleotide ribosomal RNA is filed under the name Coffea perrieri. RNAcentral's name for it is "partial 26S ribosomal RNA". RNAcentral also lists the same sequence under 4 other names. The record is from RNAcentral. Lineage: Eukaryota; Viridiplantae; Streptophyta; Magnoliopsida; Gentianales; Rubiaceae.